This 24-nucleotide non-coding RNA is filed under the name Rattus norvegicus (Norway rat). Lineage: Eukaryota; Metazoa; Chordata; Mammalia; Rodentia; Muridae. The record is from RNAcentral.
UGUGAGGCACAACCUCUGGGGCGC